Non-coding RNA from Sus scrofa (pig), 1297 nucleotides. NCBI's taxonomy places the organism in Eukaryota, Metazoa, Chordata, Mammalia, Artiodactyla, Suidae. The record is from RefSeq and is a predicted model, not a curated record.
CCCAGGCGCCUGAACUGGGCGUGGCCGGCAUCCCACCUUCCGCCGGGUUGCGGAUGAGGCUCUUGCUAAUAUCCAAGGCCCAGCUCAACUAUCAGAGAGGUGGAAAGGAAGAGGAAUAUGCCCCUGCCUUUGAGGAGGGACCUGAGUUUGAAUCCCAGCUUGGCGAACAUUUCCUAGUUUUAGAUUUUACCUCUUGCCUACUACAAAGGAAUGUGAAGACCUAGAUCUUAUACUGCCUUCCACAUUUUUUCUGUGCUCAUUAUGUUUAUAUCAUCAUUCUGCAUUUACAAUCCAAGAACUGUGAAACAGAUUACUCAAGCUGAGUCAGGAGUGUACUGUGAUUAUGAUUCCUUUGCUAGAUGUUCUGUUUUUCCUAGGGUAAGUGUUGCUUAUUUUUUUGUUUGCUUAAUCUUCUAUGCAUAUUUCACUAAUUAUUCCCAUUAAUCUUUCCUUGAAGUGAAAAACAAUCUCAAGAUUUGGUUUCCCAUUCAGCCACAGCAACUCAGGAUCUGAGCUGUGUCUGCGACCUACACCACAGCUCAUGGCGAUGCUGGAUCCUUAACCCACUGAGCAAGGCCAGGGAUCAAACCCGAAACCUCGUGGUUACUAGUCGGAUUCAUUUACCGCCUUGUUGGGAUCCUCAUCCAAAUAAACCAACUAUACAAAGGCAUUUUAAGGGCCACACCCUAAAGACAACUACCGUGUACAUAAAUCAGCAUGUUUAUGAGCUUUCUCUGAGUGAAACGAGCAGCAGUUGGAUACUACUCAGAAGACCAGCAGGCAUGGGAAGAGGAAGGAAGGGUGAAGAUAAAAGAAGGAAGUUUUGAAACCUCACAGAGAAAGGAGUACAAGACUUGACAGGGUUGUACUUGACGGGCGACGAACAGAUAAUACUCCUUUAUCAGUUAUUACAAGGUGGCAAAAUUCCCUGUGCUAUACAGUAAGUCCUUGUUGCUUAACUUUUUUAUGUAUAGUAGUUUUUAUCUAUUAAUCCCGUACUCCUAAUUUGCCCCUCCCCCUACUCCUCUUCGGUAACCCUAAGUUUGUUUUCUAUGUCUAUGAGUUGUUUCUGUUUUGUAGACAGAUUCAUUUGUACUACUUCUUAGAUUCCACAUAGAAGUGAUAUUAUAUAGUAUUUCUUUCUCUGUCUGACUUAUUUUAUAAAACAUAAUAUUCUCUAGGUGUACCCAUGUUGCUGCAAAUGGCAGAAUUUCAUUCUUUUUUGAGCAACAUGGCAUUUUUUCCCUCCAUGGAACUCUUCUUGCCUGGUGCCCUUAGAGAAUUCUGUCCAUCUUCA